This is a non-coding RNA of Oncorhynchus mykiss (rainbow trout), 1066 nucleotides long. The record is from RefSeq and is a predicted model, not a curated record. Lineage: Eukaryota; Metazoa; Chordata; Actinopteri; Salmoniformes; Salmonidae.
CAUUGAAGCUCGUCUGGAGGGUAUAACACAGGCCCAGCUAGCUAGCUAACACAGACCCUUAUAGAACCCUCAUUAACAUACCCUACAACACAGGCCCCAGUUAGCUAGCUAACACAGACCCUUAUAGAACACUCAUUAACAUACCCUACAACACAGGCUCAGCUAGCUAGCUAACAUUGGAAUCUAGUUCUCUAACUCAGGCCCAGUUAACCAUCUUUACAUUUUAAAUGUAAUCUUUAUUUAACUAGGCAAGUCAGUUAAUUAAGAACAAAUUCUUAUUUACAAUGACGGCCUAGGCUACCACUAGGCUACCUGCUGCCCCAAGGACUAAGGACCAGCUAGAUACUGUACAAUAUCUAACACAGGCCCAGUUAACUAUCUCACAGAGAUCCAACUAGCAAGCUAGCUUACCGAGAUGACCGCACAACAUACAAAACUGUCAUUACCGUACUCUAGCACGACCACCUGAGUGUAUAUUAGCAUGUUCUUUGUUUAAAGUGUACAGCUGAAUGCUACUCUAGUGCUUUCUGGUUGUUAUUCAUUUGUUUAAGGUUUACAGCUGAAUGCUACUCUAGUGCUUUCUGGUUGUUAUUCAUUUGUUUAAGGUUUACAGCUGAAUGCUACUCUAGUGCUUUCUGGUUGUUAUUCAUUUGUUUAAGGUGUAUUCUUAGGAUGGAUGACGUCAUCACAUGCCAAGGUUAUCCAUUUUCUGUGGCUAAUAGCAGACAAAUAGUGAUUAAUGUUGAAUGGAGGGGGUUGAAUGGAGGGGGUUGAAUGGAGGGCUGCUAGAGGAUACAAAUGGAGGUUCCAAUCCGCCCCAGAAAGAUUCAGCCUUGACUCCAAAUGGCACCCUAUUAAAUAUAUAGUACACUACAUUUGACUAAGCCCUUGUGAAAAGUAGUGCACUAAAUAUGAAAUAGGGGUGCCUUUAUUAAAGGUACCAAUGACUCACCCACCCAGACCCUACAUAGCUGCUGAAUCAGGUUCAGUCUAUUUUGUCUUUUGUCUGUGCAUUUCAUUGAAAUUCUCAGAUAUCUGUCAGAGACGGGUGUGUGUGUGACGGAUC